AAUAGAAGAUGGGGUUGGAAAAGUAAAUACAGCUGUGUUUUCUCCACCCCUGCGUGAGAAUGGAGGCGCCAUUCAGAAUGGAAGGAGGCCGAGUCGCUCCUUCAGCGCAGUCGGAACCCAGAGGAGUGUGCUACUGUUUCGCGCCAUAGAGAACACAGGUCAGCAUUGCGUUCUCACUGGAACAUCUCCCUGCCUUUGAUCACAGUCUCCACCACUUCCCACUGCCGGAGCUUCAUUAUCCCACACCAACUGCACUCUUGAAACAAACCACUCUAUGAAUCUGUUUAUCCCAGGAGUCUAAAUGGCAUUAGAAGGUGAGCCGGUGAUGGGAAUUCUCUGAAGACACUGAAUAAUUUACAGUCUCCCCAUGAAGUUGGAAAUUCA
This is a non-coding RNA of Myodes glareolus (Bank vole), 384 nucleotides long. Lineage: Eukaryota; Metazoa; Chordata; Mammalia; Rodentia; Cricetidae. The record is from RefSeq and is a predicted model, not a curated record.